UACGGGGGGCAGCAGUGGGGAAUAUUGCGCAAUGGGGGAAACCCUGACGCAGCAACGCCGUGUGAGCGAUGAAGGCCUUCGGGUUGUAAAGCUCUGUUAAAUAAGAAGAAACUCCCAUAUUCUAAUACAAUAUGGGAUUGACGGUAUUAUUAGAGAAAGCACCGGCUAACUCCGUGCCAGCAGCCGCGGUAA
Molecule: ribosomal RNA, 192 nt
Filed under: uncultured bacterium
Lineage: Bacteria
Description: partial 16S ribosomal RNA
Rfam family: Bacterial small subunit ribosomal RNA
Source: RNAcentral